ACGGAAGUUCGCUUCUUUGAUUUCCCCCUUAACAACUCAACUCAAGUCCCACACACAUCUACACCUCAGUAACAAAGAGAGCGCUGGGAGAGAGAGAGAGAGAGAGAGUCGACGAGAGAACGAAGGGCAUCCGACGAGGAUCCGGGUUUUCAGUGAGAGAUGGUGCCGAAAAAUGAAGCGACUGAAGAGCCGUUGGCAGAUUCUCUGACUUCUGUGCUUGAAGAUGAGGACAUCUGCAAGGAGAAAGUCGUUGUAGAAGUGUACGAAGAAACAUUUCUCGAGGCUAAAAUUUUUAUUCGCCGAAAAAGGGAACUACGGUGACAAGGCCUCACUUCUCUUGCGCUUUGUGUCCCGUUUGUUUCCAAUCUGUGCUGCCUGCGAUGAAGGUCUCCCUGCGUGCACAUUUUUGUUCAGGUUAGGGUCUCUUAUACAUGAUUUGUUUGAUUUAGUUAAUACUGAUACUUUGAUUGUUUAAUUUGAAGUCGAAGCAUAUUUUUUAGUUCAGUCUUUUUUUCUACGGAUUUAGUUUGGUAAGAUCCUAAAAUCUUGUAAAUGGUCUCAAGAAUAUAAGUACUUGGGCAUUGAAGGAUUUGAUUAUAAUGAAAUUAAAAGGCUGAGAGUUUAAUUCCAUUGGAGUUAUGGUGCUGUGGUAAUACUUGAAUUUCAGUUUCAGUUGGUUUUUGAAUGGAUUUACAUUUAUUUCUUAGCUAGCUAAUUUUCGUCUCUCUAAAGGAACGUGGGACUCUACACAUUUUAACACUUGGGCGGGAGGCUGUUCUUGAAGUAUAGGUCUUUUGUUGGAUCUUGAUUGAUAACAUGAUAUAUUGCAAGUACGAGUUGUAGAUUACAUUUCGUUGAUUGUAACAAAUAAGGGUGUAACUUUUAUUUACUCGGUAAAAGUUGGUCCGAUUGUAAGGUAACGGGUCAGCAGGUGAAACUGCAGGUUGUAUUUCAUAGGACAAGUAGUAGCAAGAUGUUUACCCACUCAAUACACACGAGGUUGGUACACAGUGCUGAUUACCAAAUGGAUGGGUUUGUUGACGGCGUUGAAUGUCCCUUUUUAUGUUCUCCAAGAGCUGUAAAUAUGUCCUUUUGAACAAAACAGUGUAUAACUAUUGAAACAAGUAG
Molecule: long non-coding RNA, 1128 nt
Organism: Helianthus annuus (common sunflower)
Lineage: Eukaryota; Viridiplantae; Streptophyta; Magnoliopsida; Asterales; Asteraceae
Exons: 6
Source: RefSeq, a predicted model, not a curated record